CUCAUCUCCUUUUUUUUAAAGGUAAAAAAUCGUACAAGGUUUCCGUAGGUGACCUGCGGGAGGAUCAUU
This 69-nucleotide ribosomal RNA is filed under the name Paratlanticus ussuriensis. Its description in RNAcentral is "partial 18S ribosomal RNA". The record is from RNAcentral. Lineage: Eukaryota; Metazoa; Arthropoda; Insecta; Orthoptera; Tettigoniidae.